Long non-coding RNA from Eptesicus fuscus (big brown bat), 301 nucleotides. RefSeq lists it as uncharacterized. The transcript has 3 exons. NCBI's taxonomy places the organism in Eukaryota, Metazoa, Chordata, Mammalia, Chiroptera, Vespertilionidae. The record is from RefSeq and is a predicted model, not a curated record.
CUGAAUGGUUAUUGAGUUGAUUAUUGUAUACUAGAGGCCCGAUGCACGAAAUUCACGCAUGGGUAGGGUCUCAAGGCCUGGCUGGCGAUCAGGGCUGAUCUGUGGGGCAACUGGCAGGGCUAUCAGGGGGCCCCCACUGGCACCGCCUGCUUGCCAGCCCUGCCCCCCACCACCGCUGCCACUGCCCGCCUCCCUCUGCAGCCCUUUUGUUUCAGGGCCUGUGAGCUGAGAGCAGCUCCUGCGUUGAGCGUCUGCCCCUGGAGAGCCUCCUUGAGCGGAGGCCAGAGCUGGCUGGAAGCAG